This 407-nucleotide ribosomal RNA is filed under the name uncultured soil bacterium. RNAcentral describes it as "bacterial SSU rRNA". It matches the Rfam family "Bacterial small subunit ribosomal RNA", at positions 26 to 453 of the family's 1533-position model. The record is from RNAcentral.
AGAACGAAUGCUGGCGGCAUGCCUAAUACAUGCAAGUCGAACGAACACUUCGGUGUUAGUGGCGUACGGGUGCGUAACGCGUGGGAAUCUGCCCUUGGGUUCGGAAUAACAGUUGGAAACGACUGCUAAUACCGGAUGAUAUCGAAAGAUCAAAGAUUUAUCGCCCAGGGAUGAGCCCGCGUAGGAUUAGCUAGUUGGUGAGGUAAAGGCUCACCAAGGCGACGAUCCUUAGCUGGUCUGAGAGGAUGAUCAGCCACUACUGGGACUGAGACACGGCCCUAGACUCCUACGGGAGCAGCAGUAGGGAAUACUUGGACAAUGGGACGCAAGCCUGAUCCAAGCAAUUGCCGCGUGAGUGAUGAAGGCCGUUAGGGUUGUAAAGUCGUCUUUUACCCGAGAUUGAAUAA